Molecule: long non-coding RNA, 2739 nt
Organism: Carassius auratus (goldfish)
Lineage: Eukaryota; Metazoa; Chordata; Actinopteri; Cypriniformes; Cyprinidae
Exons: 4
Source: RefSeq, a predicted model, not a curated record
AUCUGGGUUUUCCAUGCAUACAGAAAAUUAUCAUAAAGCCUACUAUUCACUUCAGUUAUAUUUAGCAGAUUCUGGCAAAAUAGUAUGUCAUCCGGGUAUUCCAUGCAUGCUAAGCACAUAAUGUAUACUGCAGAAAUAGUGCGAGUAGUAUAAUAGUAUGGCAUUUCGAACACAGCAAGUGACAACUCCUAUGGUGACAACCGCGAAACCGGAAACUGAAACUAGUUUUUCCAUUGGUCGCUGAACUGAGAAGUCUUGAUUUAAUGUUUUGUGGUGCUAACUAAACUUAGUCUAGAAAUCAGACUUCGCGUGCAACAAUAGCAGAAAUCGCAAUUCUCGUUCGGAUCGGAUGCGUUGAACACCAGUCUAUUUAAAGGUAUAUCAGUGUGAAAUCAAAAUCUUUCCAAACACCUCCUGGAGACAUAAAUGGCCGGCGACGUUCACACUUGGGGAGUUUUAGAAGCAGAUCAAUGGGUGAGGCAGAGGGUCAAAUCGAUGGAUACAAGUCUAUAUUUUAGGAAAGUUGAUCAGCCUUGGAGGCCGCGUGUUUUCUCUGUGCGUGUGAAAUACGGCAGACAGAGGAGGAUAGUCACAGAUGAGUUUGAUAUUCUGCUUGAAAAAGGGAUGAAGAGGAUGUGUAACGAUAGACCAGCAUUACAGUCACAGAUACAGCGCUUCAUCUGGAGCCAUCAAGAGUCUGACGCAGACGCAGAGAGGAGACACUAAAGGGAAACUAAAGCUUCCCCCAACACUGCAAACUAUGCACCUUCUUCAGUCUGAUUUCAAGAUGUUUACAAGAAAAUUGCAUAUACGUUAGAUAAAUGACUCAAGCUCUAGACACUUAAAGGUGCUGUCAUUUAUUGACUGUCAUAAAGCUUAAAAGUACCAUGGUAUGUGUGCGGAUAUUUAGGACACAUGCUAAGCUCACAUGAUUGUUGUUUUUGUCUUCUCAAGAAACAACACUACAGCCAGUGAUUCUGCUUCGAAAUGCGUGUUCAGUGACAGAAUGUCUGUUUUUGAUUUGGUCUGUGUGACUCCGCCCACUGCCAAUUCACCCAAUAGGAAUUUAUUCUAAGAAUAGUGUUAUAAAAAUACCUUUUAAUAUGAAUAAAAACGUAUUAAUCUGAAUGUUUGAUAAAUGUACAGUCCAUAUCUGUAGCACAACUCUCCGUUCCUGUCAUUGUCUCUGUUUCACAGAUAGAUAUAUAAUAAAAAAGAGCUGUUUACUUCUGUAGACUCUGUUUACUUGUUCUAUCUAGUGCACUAGAAACAGCUAGGCUUACUCAUCAUGAAUCAUACAAAAGUUCAUAUUGACACCGUAAGAGUACACAUAGGAUGAAUAUAGAGAUGCAGUUUUACAGCUUUAGGAUUAGUUUCCAACUUUAUGAGUAAAGAAAAGAUGCAUCUCUAGCCUAUAAAGACAGUACACCCUUUUUUUUUUGCAUGCAAAAUUUUACUGAAAUGCUGCUGUUGUGACCGCACUUUCAGAAAUACAAAAUGAACAGAAUGCUAAUAUGAUAACUUUUUAAACACUGUAGGCAAGAGCAUAUUUUUGCGCAUAAAUCACUGAAAAAAGUACUUCAUGAAUGCAUGUUGGCUUAUUGAAAACUAGCCGUUUAUUAAAAGAAUAUAAUGCUAAACUACAAUAAGAAUACUUAUUAAAACAAUCACAAUUUUAGGAUGUUUACAUUGUCUUUCUAAUCUGAACACGUUUGGCAAAAACAAGCAACAACUAAUCAUUACUUACUAACGAGUGCACUUGUUUCAAUUGAAGACUGCAUCAUUGAACUGACCUUAAAUAAUACAGUUACAAAACAACUUCUGGAUGAUUUAAAAAUAUAUAUAUAUAUAUUGGAAAAUAAAUGCUUUGAAUGUAUUAAUCAGUAACCUGAUUGAGGUCAUGCUGUGACAAGUUGAAAAUGCAUGCAUCUGUUCAGUGCAUUAAUGCACAAACGGCUGCGCCCAGUCAAACUCUCAGUUCACACAAUCCACUGGGCUUCCAAAUAAAGUCAAGAUUUAAAAAAUGAAACAUUUAAAAGGAAAGUUCACAAGGUAAUGCACAUUUAAGUGUAGCAAAGGCAGCUCAACGAUAGAAUUGAUAUGCAAUGAAUAUGAAUAUAACAUCUUAAAGAGGCUUAUAAUGGUUUAGCGUUAAUGAACGCUGUUUUCUUUGGAAUGCACUCGAAGAAUAUAAAAACAGAGUUCAUUCCUUCACUUUUAAAAGAAAUCCUCACAUUCCUUCAGUGUCUUAUAAAUAAAAGACGGAAUAAAUAUUCACUUAAAUCAUUAUCAUAAAGCACAAUCACUUUUAAACUGCUGCUUUCGCACAAAUAAAACUGAUUUGAAGUUGUUUGGUAGGUGGAUUGUCAUUUUCUUAAAGUGACAGUGCACCGAUUUUUUUUUUUUUUUAUUCUGCCAUAUAUUCCAUAUCAAAUUGUGUUACAUCUGUAAUAGUUUCUGCUGAACUCAGUAAAAUAAAUAUUGAAUAAUGCUGGAAGCCAAACAGUUUCCGGUCCCUAUCGACAUUCUGCAAACUAUCGUUUUUUAUUUUAAUUUUUUUGUAAUUUUUGGGUGUACUAUCCCUUUAAAUUGGCCAGUGGGAAUACUGGUAAUGUAAAUGGAGAGGAUCUGAAAGCGGUGUGAGCUGAUCCGUGCAGCAUCACCGUGACAAACCUGUAAUAAGGCGACGGAAUUUGGGGUUUUGACACGGAUAUCCCUCGUCUAAAGGCAGUGAGGUAA